Molecule: ribosomal RNA, 492 nt
Filed under: uncultured bacterium
Lineage: Bacteria
Description: partial 16S ribosomal RNA
Rfam family: Bacterial small subunit ribosomal RNA
Source: RNAcentral
AGUGAACGCUGGCGGUAGGCCUAACACAUGCAAGUCGAACGGCAGCACAGUAAGAGCUUGCUCUUACGGGUGGCGAGUGGCGGACGGGUGAGGAAUACAUCGGAAUCUACUUUUUCGUGGGGGAUAACGUAGGGAAACUUACGCUAAUACCGCAUACGACCUACGGGGGAAAGAAGGGGAUCUUCGGACCUUGCGCGAUUGAAUGGGCCGAUGUCGGAUUAGCUAGUUGGCGGGGUAAAGGCCCACCAAGGCGACGAUCCGUAGCUGGUCUGAGAGGAUGAUCAGCCACACUGGAACUGAGACACGGUCCAGACUCCUACGGGAGGCAGCAGUGGGGAAUAUUGGACAAUGGGCGCAAGCCUGAUCCAGCCAUACCGCGUGGGUGAAGAAGGCCUUCGGGUUGUAAAGCCCUUUUGUUGGGAAAGAAAAGCAGCAGGUUAAUACCCCGCUGUUCUGACGGUACCCAAAGAAUAAGCACCGGCUAACUUCGUG